AGUGAACGCUGGCGGCAGGCCUAACACAUGCAAGUCGAGCGGCAGCGGGUUCCCGCGAGGGGAUGCCGGCGAGCGGCGGACGGGUGAGGAACACAUCGGAAUCUGCCUGGUUGUGGGGGAUAACGUAGGGAACUUACGCUAAUACCGCAUGAGACCCUGAGUCGACGGACUGGGGGUGAAAGUGAGGGACCUUCGGGCCUCACGCGACCAGAUGAGCCGAUGUCGGANAGCUAGUUGGCGGGGUAACGGCCCGCCAAGGCGACGAUCCGUAGCUGGUCUGAGAGGAUGAUCAGCCACACUGGGACUGAGACACGGCCCAGACUCCUACGGGAGGCAGCAGUGGGGAAUCUUGGACAAU
This 358-nucleotide ribosomal RNA is filed under the name uncultured bacterium. RNAcentral describes it as "bacterial SSU rRNA". It matches the Rfam family "Bacterial small subunit ribosomal RNA", at positions 30 to 372 of the family's 1533-position model. The record is from RNAcentral.